Molecule: transfer RNA, 64 nt
Filed under: Cavia porcellus (domestic guinea pig)
Lineage: Eukaryota; Metazoa; Chordata; Mammalia; Rodentia; Caviidae
Rfam family: tRNA
About the family: Transfer RNA (tRNA) molecules are approximately 80 nucleotides in length.
Source: Rfam by way of RNAcentral
GGGGAUUUAGCUCAGCGGCAUAAGCACCUGCCUUAUAAGCAGGUGGUCGUGAGUUCGAUCCCUG